Molecule: ribosomal RNA, 775 nt
Filed under: uncultured Neocallimastigales
Lineage: Eukaryota; Fungi; Neocallimastigomycota; Neocallimastigomycetes; Neocallimastigales
Description: partial large subunit ribosomal RNA
Rfam family: Eukaryotic large subunit ribosomal RNA
Source: RNAcentral
GUACACGCUGUGACUAGCAUAUCAAUAAGCGGAGGAAAAGAAACUAACAAGGAUUCCCCUAGUAACGGCGAGUGAAGCGGGAAGAGCUCAAAUUUGGAAUCUUAAAGGGUUUCCCUUUACGAAUUGUAGUUUAAAGAAGUGUUUUCUGUUGAGGUUUUGGUAAAAGUUCUUUGGAAUAGGACAUCAUAGAGGGUGAGAAUCCCGUAUUUGACCUUUACUUUCAACUUUGUGAUACACUUUCAAAGAGUCGGAUUGUUUGGGAAUGCAGUCCAAAAUGGGUGGUAAAUUUCAUCUAAAGCUAAAUAUUGGCGAGAGACCGAUAGCGAACAAGUACCGUGAGGGAAAGAUGAAAAGAACUUUGAAAAGAGAGUUAAACAGUACGUGAAAUUGUCAAAAGGGAAGCGUUUGACACCAGUGUUGUUUUUCUGAAAAUCAAUUAAAGAACUGUUUAUGCUAAGCUGUUUAGACUUUAUCAGCUAUCUGUUUAGUUUUGAGCUUUUCUUUAAUGCACUUUUCAGUUAACAAGUCAACAUCAAUUUCUUUUGCUGUAAAAAAGCUUGAGGAAGGUGGCUUGAGAUUCGUCUUAAGUGUUUAUAGCCUCUUGCCUAUGCAGUCGGAGAGAUUGAGGUCUGCAGCGUAGAUCCUUCGGGGCUAAAUGCAUUUGUGCUAAGUUAUAGCAUUUUCAUAGACAACUUGUUGACUAUGAUUUGUCUUGUAGCUUACUCGCUUAUGUUAUUUUACCUACGCUUAGGAUGUUGACGAGACUGUCGAUCUC